Molecule: long non-coding RNA, 1424 nt
Organism: Phragmites australis (common reed)
Lineage: Eukaryota; Viridiplantae; Streptophyta; Magnoliopsida; Poales; Poaceae
Exons: 5
Source: RefSeq, a predicted model, not a curated record
CCCACGCCUGCCUAGGUCGGGAUCAUUUCCCCAUGUUGAGUCAUGUUGCCUCUGCCAUGCUCGCUCGCAACUGACGCCUCCACCAUGCUUGCUUUCGAAUGUCGUCACCUUUUCCUCCGCUCCUCCUCCACCUCCACCCCCACGUGUCCGCCUCGAUCUCCCUGCCUUAGGCGCAUGCAACGUAGAUCCAUCCUCCUCCGCCCCUGCCUUGAGCCGCCGCCUUGCUUGACCCAUCAUCCGUCCUCUCGCCCACCAGAUCGGAGCAGCAAAUCAUCCCAGCUCGGUCUAUCAGACAAAAGGAUACCUUGAGGGCCUUAGAAGUGACUACAAAUUUGGAGUGUCCUAAUCUCGCAGUCAACAUAUCCAGAGUGACUACAAAUUUUGGAUUUCCAGCUGUAAUGCCUCAUCUCGUACUUCAAAGCUUCGGUGUUGCUCUUGUUUUAAAGAGCAUUUCCCACUGGUGUAGGAUCUGAUGGAUUUUUAACCCCUCGGUUCCCUAACCGUGGCAGAGAAUAUAAACCCAGACGGAUUCCUCCACCAGGGAACUAAAAUGCCAUCUAAAUCCUCUUUGGGGAUAUCCUCCUCAGGAUUCCUCUUCUCAUGCUUCCAAACAAAGCCUAAGAACAUCCCAGCGCGAAACGAACAAUAUUGAGAAUAGUAGAAGUUACAGCUUGAUAAAAUAUGCGACUGGAAUUAUUGAUAAAGUAAAAUGAUGGUUGGCAUGCAUGAUAUAUAUAACCGAGCCAGUGUGAGCUUCAUAUAUACAUGCUCACAUCAAGAACUCGUCAUUUUCUCGUCCCUGACAAAAAUGGAUCUCAGUGGACUGGAAAACCGCCAUGGUCUGCAAGAGUGGUUUACAACUGCUGGUUUACAGAGUACAGAGCAAAGACACUUGCACUUGUGGUAAGCACAGCACAUGGUACCUGGUAAGUAACUAGCAGUUGCACGCAGUUACUUUAGAAAAAGACGUUUGCUGCGUGAAACAGCACAGACUUUUUUUCAAUGUAUUUCUUACUCGCCAUGCAUGAAUCAGACGUCAAAAAGGCAAAAAAGGGAUUGGGAAAUUGACAAGCGAUUGCGGGGAACUUGCAGAUAUGAGGUUUUUGAGUCUUUGACACUACCCAUUAUAUACUCUACGGGUUCGUGCCUCGUCGAUUCCAAACUAAGGGUUGAUUCAAUGAAUAGACAAAUUCAUGCUUAAAAAAUAAAUGAAAAAAUGGGGGACACAUGGAAGAUCAAAUAUCUAAGGGACGCUCUUAAUUAAUGUCACAUUUCUCAAUAAAAAGAGAGGUGGAUAGGAUUUUCUCUUCACUACUCCGGCCAGUUGAUAAGAAAAGACCGGAGCGGGUCAAGGGGGCUAGGGGUUCCAGCCCUCCUACCGUCUCGCAGCCAAUAAUGAUUUUUAUGGAUGAGGAAAAAGGAAG